Long non-coding RNA from Trichosurus vulpecula (common brushtail), 248 nucleotides. RefSeq lists it as uncharacterized. The transcript is spliced from 3 exons. NCBI's taxonomy places the organism in Eukaryota, Metazoa, Chordata, Mammalia, Diprotodontia, Phalangeridae. The record is from RefSeq and is a predicted model, not a curated record.
AGACAGCACUGGAAGUGGAAGACUUUGCCAUCCCAUGUAUUUGGAUCAGAGUUGCCAAAACACCAGAGAGGAUGAAUUUGAAAGUUGACUUUUGCAUUGGAGGAGAUGGGGAAUAAAGAGUUGAAAAUUCCCUUGCCAACAGGAGAGGAAUCUCUAGUUGCUGGGGGUAAAGGCUUCAUGUAGGAGGUGAUAUUUCCAUAUUUCUUACUUCAUGGCACCUAAGUGGUACAAUGGACAGAGUACUGGAC